GGGGAAUUUUCCGCAAUGGGCGAAAGCCUGACGGAGCAAUACCGCGUGAGGGAGGAAGGCUUUUGGGUUGUAAACCUCAAAACUUAGGGAAGAAAAAAAUGACGGUACCUAAUCUAAGCAUCGGCUAACUCCGUGCCAGCAGCCGCGGUAAUACGGAGGAUGCAAGCGUUAUCCGGAAUUAUUGGGCGUAAAGAGUCCGUAGGUGGCAAUUCAAGUCUGCCGUCAAAGACUAGAGCUUAACUCUGGAAAGGCGGUGGAAACUGAAGAGCUAGAGUUCGGGAGGGGUAGAGGGAAUUCCCAGUGUAGCGGUGAAAUGCGUAGAGAUUGGGAAGAACACCAGUGGCGAAGGCGCUCUACUGGACCGAAACUGACACUGAGGGACGAAAGCUAAGGGAGCGAAAGGGAUUAGAUACCCCUGUAGUC
This 423-nucleotide ribosomal RNA is filed under the name uncultured cyanobacterium. Its description in RNAcentral is "bacterial SSU rRNA". It matches the Rfam family "Bacterial small subunit ribosomal RNA", at positions 356 to 795 of the family's 1533-position model. Lineage: Bacteria; Bacillati; Cyanobacteriota. The record is from RNAcentral.